Long non-coding RNA from Panicum virgatum (switchgrass), 1152 nucleotides. RefSeq lists it as uncharacterized. The transcript has 4 exons. Lineage: Eukaryota; Viridiplantae; Streptophyta; Magnoliopsida; Poales; Poaceae. The record is from RefSeq and is a predicted model, not a curated record.
UCAGGAACCCAUUCCUCAUUCCUAGAACCCUAUCUCUUCUCCCCUCUGCCCGCCGCCGCCGCCACUUCGCGACUCCGCCUCGGCGCGUCCGCGCCCCCACCCAUCGCCGCGCGGCUGCGCGCGCGCCGCGAGUCCUCUCCGUCCUCCCUUCUUCCCUCCCAGCCCCGCCUACUCGCUCGAUUCCAUCGGCACCAGCUCGUCGAUUGCUUCGCCCGCCCCCAUCCUACCCACGCGUUUGCCCGCCGCAUUGAAGGUCGGAGAUGGGGAAGGCGACGCGGCGGUCUCCGCCUCCCCCACGGCCGCGGGGAAGAAGGUCUGGGAGUGGGCGUCCCUGGUGACCAGGUCCUUCUUCGUCGCUAAGUUGCACCUGCUCCCGGCCAGCGUGCUGCUCGUCGCCUUUGCGUGCCACGCGGCUGGAAGCAGCCCUCCAGGUGGGAGGUGUGGCUUGCCAUCCCUGCAUUCAAGUUCAUCAACGCCGCCUACACGCAGAUGCGAAAUUGCAGCAUGUAUGUUUUACAUCUGAAAGUUGUAAGCUUGUGGCGGUGUGUCCGAUUCUGGAAUCAAGCCGUGUCUGUUCUUGCUUGCUGUCGUAGGGCUUCCUCACGGAGGGAUUGCAGAAGACGCCGGCUGGGCUACAACAAGGGCAGCAAAUUGAUAGUUGUGGGACCCUUGUAGCAGGUGUGGUUUGUCAUCUCAUCUCUUGAUCAGGUACAAAAAUACAAUGGGAUGGAGCUGCCAGAAAGUGUCAUCUUGCUUUAGUUUACCUGCCUUAAAGUUAUACUGAGCUUGAUUACAAGUCCUCAAGCUGAUGUGGUACAAAAAUACAACACAAUGGUGAAUGGAGUGCUGGUGAUCUUCAUGUAGAGAGGGAUGCUGAGAUACUUAACUUAUUCAACUUCAAAGGUGAACUGAAGUUUAGUUUUCUGAACCUAGCAUUGUCUUGAUCUGUAUGUAACUUUUGAAGACUAGACAUGAGUCAUAUACAAGGACCUGUAGAUCUGAAAAGUUAUAUAUAUCUUGUAGUCAUUUAUUCAUUCUAAUCCAAUAGCUUGCUGGAUGACAAGUCUGAUAUAUGUAUAUGAUGGACAUGUAUAUGGAACUAGCAUACAAACUGAAUUUAAUGUAUGUAGUUCCGUAUGUGUAAUUUUUUUA